RNAcentral lists this ribosomal RNA (589 nucleotides) under uncultured bacterium. Its description in RNAcentral is "bacterial SSU rRNA". It matches the Rfam family "Bacterial small subunit ribosomal RNA", at positions 70 to 665 of the family's 1533-position model. The record is from RNAcentral.
GCCUUUCUGCUUGCAGAGAGGUGGAGGAGCGGCGAAAGGGAGAGUAACGAGUGGAUCAUCUGCCCCUAGAUCUGGGAUAGCUGCGGGAAACUGCAAGUAAUACCGGAUAAUGUCUUCGGACCAAAGGUGUGAUUCCGUCUAGGGAUGAGUCCGCUUCCUAUUAGCUUGUUGGUGGGGUAAAGGCCUACCAAGGCAAUGAUGGGUACCGGGUGUGAGAGCAUGGCCCGGCUCACUGGGACUGAGACACUGCCCAGACACCUACGGGUGGCUGCAGUCGAGAAUCUUCGGCAAUGGACGCAAGUCUGACCGAGCGACGCCGCGUGCGGGAUGAAGGCCUUCGGGUUGUAAACCGCUGUCAGAGGGGAUGAAAUGCAUGGGGGUUAUCCCCCAUGUUUGACAUAUCCUCAGAGGAAGGACGGGCUAAGUUCGUGCCAGCAGCCGCGGUAAGACGAACCGUCCAAACGUUAUUCGGAAUCACUGGGCUUAAAGGGUGCGUAGGCGGCCUGGCAAGUUGGGUGUGAAAUCCCUCGGCUCAACCGAGGAACUGCGCCCAAAACUGCUAGGCUUGAGGGAGAUAGAGGUGAGCGGA